CAAACAUGCUUUUGUGAAAGCCAGGCUGUUAAUCCUGUAUUUCUGUCCAGGGCAAACCCUGGAGAGCUUGUGACAGAAGGCAAAUUUAUAAAAUUACACAAGGCUUGUUUACUAAGGAAGACCAAAACCAACCCGUGCCACAGUGCGUUGUGGCACGCCACACUGUAACAUAUGUUUCAUGAAGUAACCACAGUGAAACAAAUUCCCAAAUGUAAAAGCAUACAACUUAAACCUGGGCUAUUCUGUAUCGUUAUGGCUAACGCAGUCCAUGGAGCUGUCUGAGCCAAGGUGAUAACAAGCUUCAACAAAUCUUAAAUGCAAAUGAACUACAAGGGAAAAAACAGCAUGGAGCUCGGCUGCAGCCGGGCUUUUUGAAGGAAAGCAGCGACCGCCUUGGUGCUGUCAGCCUCUUCAUCCCUGAACCUCAGGAUUGGAUAGACAUCACUGCCGUGUGCUUUGGAGCAAUGGGCUCAGGGUCUACCUGUUUUUUUGUUUUGUUUUUGUGGGCAAUUAAGUUGACGAGCCCGGAGCAGGACAGCCGGCCGUGUCAGGCGAUGGGCCCCUGGUCGCAGCCACUGCCCGUCUCUCGUCACGGGGCGAGCAGGUGGGAGUUUUAAUGAGCGGCCUGGCUGCACGGUGGGAGCUUUAGAUGAAUAAGACUCCAUUAACCAGAAACAUCCCUCAGCUCUCCACUCUCUCUGCACUGAAGAAAAUAAGGAUUACGGACCGCUAACAGCCUAAAAGCUACUUUUAUAUACAUUUUAAUCCCUCUUCCAUAUGUGUCACUUAUCAACACCUAGACCGAAUCCUUUUAAUGCUAAAAAAGAACUGUUAAUUGCAUGUUGUAUUUUCUUAGUUUAUUGUUGCACUUUAACGGUUUUUGCUUUAUCUGUUCCCCAUUUACUUUAAAGCACUCAGAGAUGGUGUCUUACAUGGAAGGUACUGGAUAAAUGUAUUUGGACUGAACAAUUAGAUUAAGCUUUUCAAACUUGAAUUGCACCUCAUUUUUACCAACUUCUGUUUCUUUUGCUUUUAAGGACAGCCAAGAUAUCCUUAAUGGAGGGCCAUGCACACACAGCUAGAUAAGAAACAGCUCUAGGAGUGCUAGAUCACCCCCAGUUUCACUUUUACUUUACAAAAUUGUACCUGUCCAAAAUGUAAUCCUUACAUCAAUCAGUUUACAGCUUCAUUUACAGAAAUAAAAUGCAUAAAAAGCUCAGAGAGUUACUGUAUGCAUUACCACAGAACAGUGGCCCACAGCCUAUUACAUCUCAAAGACAGAAGAGCACACUGUGAGUCUGUGCUCUGUGUGUAAACAUGAAUUACUAUAAAAAUGCCAACAAAAGUCAAGGGAACUCUCCCAAUGAAGUAACUGACAGACUCUAAAGGGAGAUGACCACAAUGGAAAUAACAUUAAUGGAAACCCCCCAAAAAAUGUCAAAUCUGCUUCCACCCCCAGGGAAGCUUACAUUCAAUGAAGAACAGAACAGUCAAUAAUUAUAAUGAGAGUUCCCAAGAAAUGAGUGCAGAAAGAGUAACUGAUUGCAGAAGAAUGUGAUUUCCAGUUAAUGAUAAGACAACUUUAAACAUCAUGUGCACUGUGAUGUGUUAACUAUCUAAAGUUCUGACAAAAAGAAAACCUUAUCUCCACAGUAAAGCAGAUCAAACUACAUACUUUAUGUGUUUAAAGUUUAAGUUAACCACCUAGCCUUUUUUUAACCCUUUAUGGCUUGGGUUUGUGUUUUUGUGUUGAAAAUGUAAGAGGUGCUUAUGUACUGCAAGACACUAUUCCAGUCUUUCUCUGUGAGUCUCUUCUCUGGGAGUGCUCACUGAAAUUCCACCCUUCCUGCUCUUUGAAGCCCUGAUUCAGAGUUCAGACGGUUUCGACCGGCUCAAACUCUGACAAGGCAUUAAGGGUGAAACAGUAGUUACCAAUCAUUGAAUCAUCACUAGAUGCCUAUUGAGUGAAAAUUCAUUGUGGUCCAGGUUCAGGAAUGAUUUAUUACCUGCAACAAUUUUAGACGUAGUAGUUGUUAGUAUUACGUACAUCUCCGAUUCCUCUGAAGAGGAUUAACUGUUCAACUGCUGGGGAAAAUGGAAAACUUGUUGACUGUAAUAAACCGCAGGACUGACGUGAGUUGAAGAGGCUGUGGUAGGAGUGUUCAGGUUCACCUGCACAGUCUGAGGGGCUGCUGAGGGAAGUCCUUGGAGACUGCCAUGCCAAGUGAAAAGCAGCUCACCCGGUUUCGAAAUGAGCAGAGAUUUAUUGGAUUUGUGUUGAGAUACAGACUAUACUAGUUACAAGUUCACAUGGAUGCCAAAAUGCAAAAUAUGUGACUGAUGUCAGGAUGUUUUAUUUUCAUUUCAAACGCUUAAGUUGUAUACUGCUUCUUUUAGACUACAUUACUCCCACAGACCAUUUUCCAACAAGUUUAAACAUGGUGUUACUGCACUAUUUUGCCAGCAAGGCGAAAACUCUAGUUCGACCACAGUGUCUCUUUACCACCCCCUAGUGCAAGUUCACUCACUCCAGGCAUGACGCUCCAGAAGAACAGCAGGGGUUUUAAAUAAAAAAGUCACCAGAUGAAGUUUAAGCUUCCUGUUGUGGAGGAAACAGAAUGAAAACUCAAAACCUCUGACUAGCGGUGACUAACACUGUAACUGGCCCCGCAGUCACCGUGAAGCCUGUCUGUUGCAACCACUGCUCUGGCUAUAAUGAGACGCGUGAAUCACCACACUCAAUCGGAGCUGCAAAGGAAAGGGGGUGACCUACCUGUCAGUCGGCAGGUGUUGGUCACCUUUAAAGGUUGACAGGCCUUGUUAAAACUCUAUGCAAUCACCCGCACAGCCCCACUUGGAGAGGAGGUAAGACUGACAGUUCUAAAUCUGAAAUUAAGAGGCAGCCGUGAAAUAAAGACACAGACCUGUCUUUCGCGCUGCUGUCAUACUGUAUGGUUACAGCCACAGGGACGUAUCGUAUGGGUAACGCAGUACCUGCGUGAAUUAGUGAAGUCUUCGUGGAACAGCACUGCGCUGGAGAAAAGGGCGCAUCCUGCAAGAUCUCCGAGACUAGUCGUAAGGAAUCAAAUCAGGCACAAAACCAACAAGCAAAGAGUCUGUAAGACAAGAAGACUGGUGCAGUAGCAGAGGAACAGGUGCUGACUAAGAUCUACAUACUGUACUACAGACGGACAGAUGACAGGAGCGCAGAGCCGCGUGGCAGUGGGACUGCUGGUCCUGCUCCUCUCCUUGCCCAGCUGGGAGAUCCUGGUAGAGGACUCAGCCAGUGAGACAAGAUGGCAUACCUACAAGACCAAAAGGGACCAGGAAGUGGUCUCCAACUUCAAAAGGCACUCAGAGGGAACCUUCUCCAGCGACUUCACCAGGUACCUGGACAGGAUCAAAGCCAAGGACUUUGUGCACUGGCUCCAAACUGGCACAAAACGACAAAGGUACACAGUCCAGGCCCUGGACACAUGGCAGUAACACAGGAACCUGCACAGCAGCGAGCACGUGGUAACACUGCCAGCCGUCCCCGUGCCAAAGAUAGACUGAAGCCUGUAUUAUAACAAAGCUGCCCUUGUACUGGAUUUACACUAAUAACUGCUUAAAAAUUAAAAUCAAGCAAUUAAAUA
Lepisosteus oculatus (spotted gar) is the source of this 3635-nucleotide non-coding RNA. The record is from RefSeq and is a predicted model, not a curated record. NCBI's taxonomy places the organism in Eukaryota, Metazoa, Chordata, Actinopteri, Semionotiformes, Lepisosteidae.